CAGGCGUAACACAUGCAAAUCGAACGAAGGCUUAGUCUUUAGUGGCGCACGGGAGCAUCACGCGUGGGAAUGUGCCACUGGCUUCGGACUAACCUCAGUAAACGACGGAUAAUACCGGAUGAUGUCGAUAAGACCAAAGAUUAUCGCCCGAGCAUGAGCCCGCGUAGGAUUAGGUAUUUGGUGAGGUAAGAGCUCACCAAGCCUAUGAUCCCUAGUUGGUAUGAGAGGAUGAUCAGCCACAUAGGGAAUGAGACACGGCCCAGAAUCCUACGGGAGGCAGCAGUGGGGAAUAUUGGACAAUGGGUGCUAGCCUGAUCCAGCCAUUCAGCUUGAGUGAUGAAGGCGUAAGGAUGGUAAGACUCUUAUAGCCCGAGAUAAUAAUGACACUAUAGGGAGAGAUAAGCUUCGUUUAACUUGCGAGCCAGCAGCCGCGGAUA
This 437-nucleotide ribosomal RNA is filed under the name uncultured bacterium. RNAcentral's name for it is "bacterial SSU rRNA". It matches the Rfam family "Bacterial small subunit ribosomal RNA", at positions 43 to 523 of the family's 1533-position model. The record is from RNAcentral.